Molecule: ribosomal RNA, 720 nt
Filed under: Acanthamoeba sp. AcL-BR12
Lineage: Eukaryota; Discosea; Longamoebia; Acanthamoebidae
Description: SSU rRNA
Rfam family: Eukaryotic small subunit ribosomal RNA
Source: RNAcentral
CAGCUCCAAUAGCGUAUAUUAAAGUUGUUGCAGUUAAAAAGCUCGUAGUUGGAUUUUGGGACGUGCAUUCACAUUCAUAAAGGUGUAAAAGCCUGUGGAAGCGUCUUACUGCUCUAUUGGCGCUAGGUCACCUUCACGGGUGGUCUGGUGUCUCAAGGUAGUUUGGCGUUGCGGGCUCGGUCCAUCAGUGUGCCUCGCAAGGGGCCUCCAUUGGUGUGUUAACCGGCCCGCCCGUCCCCUCCUUCUGGAUUCCCGUUCCUGCUAUUGAUUUAGUGGGAACGUCACAGGGGGCUAGUCGUGUAAAAAGCGGCUGGUCUCUGGGGCCCAGAUCGUUUACCGUGAAAAAAUUAGAGUGUUCAAAGCGGGCAGAUAUUUUUCCUGCCACCGAAUACAUUAGCAUGGGAUAAUGGAAUAGGACCCUGACCUCCUAUUUUCAGUUGGUUUUGUUUACAGCGAGGUUAUAUCAGGGUAAUGAUUAAUAGGGAUAGUUGGGGGCAUUAAUAUUUAAUUGUCAGAGGUGAAAUUCUUGGAUUUAUGAAAGAUUAACUUCUGCGAAAGCGUUUGCCAAGGAUGUUUUCAUUAAUCAAGAACGAAAGUUAGGGGAUCGAAGACGAUCAGAUACCGUCGUAGUCUUAACCAUAAACGAUGCCGACCAGCGAUUAGGAGACGUUGAAUACAAAACACCGCUGUUAAUCCUUUCGGGGGUUAAUAGUUGGUGAA